UAGCUCAGUGGUAGAGUGCUUGCCUUGCAUGCAUGAGGCAUGGGUUCGAUUCCUAA
This 56-nucleotide transfer RNA is filed under the name Dipodomys ordii (Ord's kangaroo rat). It matches the Rfam family "tRNA", at positions 8 to 63 of the family's 71-position model. From Rfam's summary of the family: Transfer RNA (tRNA) molecules are approximately 80 nucleotides in length. Their secondary structure includes four short double-helical elements and three loops (D, anti-codon, and T loops). Further hydrogen bonds mediate the characteristic L-shaped molecular structure. tRNAs have two regions of fundamental functional importance: the anti-codon, which is responsible for specific mRNA codon recognition, and the 3' end, to which the tRNAs corresponding amino acid is attached (by aminoacyl-tRNA synthetases). tRNAs cope with the degeneracy of the genetic code in two manners: having more than one tRNA (with a specific anti-codon) for a particular amino acid; and 'wobble' base-pairing, i.e. permitting non-standard base-pairing at the 3rd anti-codon position. Lineage: Eukaryota; Metazoa; Chordata; Mammalia; Rodentia; Heteromyidae. The record is from Rfam by way of RNAcentral.